CAAAUGGCAAAAGUCGUAGGAAUAUUGUUUGUCGUCAAUACGUAGUACAACUACGUCAGUAGUCUAUUAUAUAAUAAGUUCAACUGUUCAUGCUGUUGGCGGCAAUUUCAAAUUAGAAGACGAAAUUCGUAUCUUUUCAAUUUGGAGGCAGGGGUUCAAAUUAGCGGUGGUCCGAGGUCCGCGACCUUCCACUUUCGAAUUGGUUACUAGCCACGCCCGACGGGCCUUCCACUCUGAGACAACUAUAUCACAGCUAUAGUAGUCUCAGUUCCACUUGAAAGAAAAUAAAAAAUAGCUUUGCAAACCUUUUCGCCAAAGUCUCCAAAUCAACGAUCUCAAAACUUAUUUUAAUCAUUAUUAUUCAUGACAGCGAUGUCAAUUUUGUUCAAUCGCUAGCUAUAUACAGAAAAUCGCCGACAAAAAAUGUGUUAAUACGAGUAAAAUCGUAUCUGACUGACAAAAACAACAUUGGAACACAAUGACAAUGGCUGCCGUGAAAAGACAAUUACAAUUUCGGAUCCGAUUCCGGAAGCGGAUAAGGGUAAUUCCGGGUUUUUGGCGAAUCCAGGCAGGUGACAAAAUACAUCUAUGCAUGGUAAAUGAAUAUAAACACUAGAAUUGAAAACCAAAAGAUAUAUGUAAAAGAAAGAAAAAGCAGAAAAUAUUUUAAACAGAAACUCAAAAUUACUUUUGACAAAUUUUAAUGUCAAAAUCCAAUACAAUGUGACAG
This 730-nucleotide long non-coding RNA is filed under the name Mytilus galloprovincialis (Mediterranean mussel). Lineage: Eukaryota; Metazoa; Mollusca; Bivalvia; Mytilida; Mytilidae. The record is from RNAcentral.